GAUGAACGCUGGCGGCGUGCCUAAUACAUGCAAGUCGAGCGAACGGACGAGAAGCUUGCUUCUCUGAUGUUAGCGGCGGACGGGUGAGUAACACGUGGAUAACCUACCUAUAAGACUGAGAUAACUUCGGGAAACCGGAGCUAAUACCGGAUGAUAUUUUGAACGGCAUGGUUCAACAGUGAAAGACGGUCUUGCUGUCCCUUAUAGAUGGAUCCGCGCUGCAUUAGCUAGUUGGUAAGGUCACGGCUUACCAAGGCGACGAUGCAUAGCCGACCUGAGAGGAUGAUCGGCCACACUGGAACUGAGACACGGUCCAGACUCCUACGGGAGGCAGCAGUAGGGAAUCUUCCGCAAUGGGCGAAAGCCUGACGGAGCAACGCCGCGUGAGUGAUGAAGGUCUUCGGAUCGUAAAACUCUUUUAUUAGGGAGGAACAGAUGUGUAAGUAUCUCUUCACAUCUUGACGUUACCUAAUCAGAAAGCCACGGCUAACUACGUG
Molecule: ribosomal RNA, 497 nt
Filed under: uncultured bacterium
Lineage: Bacteria
Description: partial 16S ribosomal RNA
Rfam family: Bacterial small subunit ribosomal RNA
Source: RNAcentral